GAUGAACGCUGGCGGCGUGCUUAACACAUGCAAGUCGAACGAUGAUGCCCAGCUUGCUGGGUGGAUUAGUGGCGAACGGGUGAGUAACACGUGAGUAACCUGCCCUUGACUCUGGGAUAAGCCUGGGAAACUGGGUCUAAUACCGGAUACGACCAUCUGGCGCAUGUCAUGGUGGUGGAAAGCUUUUGUGGUUUUGGAUGGACUCGCGGCCUAUCAGCCUGUUGGUGGGGUAAUGGCCUACCAAGGCGACGACGGGUAGCCGGCCUGAGAGGGUGACCGGCCACACUGGGACUGAGACACGGCGCAGACUCCUACGGGAGGCAGCAGUGGGGAAUAUUGCACAAUGGGCGCAAGCCUGAUGCAGCGACGCCGCGUGAGGGAUGACGGCCUUCGGGUUGUAAACCUCUUUCAGUAGGGAAGAAGCGAAAGUGACGGUACCUGCAGAAGAAGCGCCGGCUAACUACGUG
This 467-nucleotide ribosomal RNA is filed under the name uncultured bacterium. RNAcentral's name for it is "partial 16S ribosomal RNA". It matches the Rfam family "Bacterial small subunit ribosomal RNA", at positions 28 to 507 of the family's 1533-position model. The record is from RNAcentral.